This 447-nucleotide ribosomal RNA is filed under the name uncultured bacterium. RNAcentral's name for it is "bacterial SSU rRNA". It matches the Rfam family "Bacterial small subunit ribosomal RNA", at positions 330 to 792 of the family's 1533-position model. The record is from RNAcentral.
CCCAGACUCCUACGGGAGGCAGCAGUGGGGGAUAUUGCGCAAUGGGGGAAACCCUGAUGCAGCGACGCCGCGUGGGCGAAGAAGUAUUUCGGUAUGUAAAGCCCUAUCAGCAGGGAAGAAGAAAUGACGGUACCUGAGUAAGAAGCACCGGCUAAAUACGUGCCAGCAGCCGCGGUAAUACGUAUGGUGCAAGCGUUAUCCGGAUUUACUGGGUGUAAAGGGGGCGCAGACGGCGAUGCAAGCCAGGAGUGAAAGCCCGGGGCCCAACCCCGGGACUGCUCUUGGAACUGCGUGGCUGGAGUGCAGGAGGGGCAGGCGGAAUUCCUGGUGUAGCGGUGAAAUGCGUAGAUAUCAGGAGGAACACCGGUGGCGAAGGCGGCCUGCUGGACUGCAACUGACGUUGAGGCCCGAAAGCGUGGGGAGCAAACAGGAUUAGAUACCCUAGUA